This 559-nucleotide long non-coding RNA is filed under the name Brachypodium distachyon (stiff brome). RNAcentral describes it as "long non-coding RNA (BDIS_LNC005609)". The record is from RNAcentral. Lineage: Eukaryota; Viridiplantae; Streptophyta; Magnoliopsida; Poales; Poaceae.
UAUUUUGCUUCACCUAAAUUUGAAUUUUACAAUUUAACUUGUGGUUUGAAAUCUUGUUGUUUGAUUUUGCUAGAAGAUUCAAAUAUGAAUCUUCCUUCCUUCUCUUGAGUUUAAAUUCCUUUCCUAUAUGUUAUAAAACAGAGUCAAAUGGGUUUUUACAAUCUUUAAUUCCAUUUGAACAUUUCCAAAUACUAGUACCAUAUUUGAAUUCUCAUAUUUCUCAGCUCUUCAAAAUGGUAUAUGAAUUUUGAAUCAACAGCUAUUUGCAAAAGAGAAAACAGAAAAAGAAAAAUGAAAAGAAAACUUACCUCGGGCCCAAGCCGGCCCAGCAGCCCCCUCGGCCCAAUCUCUCGCGCGCCCCGCAGCCCCGCCGCGGCCCAGUUUCUUCCGUGCACGCCGCGUUCCGCCUUCUCGCGUCGAAAGCGCAUUCUUAGAAAUGCACCUUGUCUCAUAGGGGGUUCUUCCCUCUGCUUUGCUUCUUUCUGGCCGGUGAGGCCCCCCGCUCCACGUCCGCUCCGACAGUGACAACCAUCCUCCUCACCUACUUAAGCAGCGCCGU